GCAGGAAUUACAAUUUUACUAUACUAUGCCAUUCGAAAAACAAGUGGGUACCUUUAUUUUUUUGGUCCACCCAUUCCUCUUAUGCUACUAUCCGACCCGUUGAAGGGUUGUAUUCGACACCACUACAAGCCAGUAGUUAGAAGAGCCGUUUGUGGUCUCGACGCAUUAAGUCCUAGUGGUUACGAAAUUGCUGUUUGCUCCAAUUGUGGACGGAGAUAGAGUUUAGGUAGCGCAAUCACACGGUCCUAGCUGUGUUUCAUGAAACACCUCCCAUGUCAAUAACCUUCGACAAUGGCAGUUUCAAAGGUUGCGAUGAAUGUCUUGCUCUUUGCUGGGUUCCAUCUCGAAUAUUUUUUGGAGCCCAAUUCGUUUGCGUCUUCAGGUGCAUUUGACAAAGCAGGACGCGGAACGUAACCUAUUUACCUGAAGCAAUAAUAGAGUUGUAAAAAUUGCAAAUAAUAAAAUCCUAACUGGAGAGAAGGUUGCCCGUCGGAACACCUGAGUGUAGAACGGAUCCAUGGGUUUGGAUGACCGUAUGAAAGGAAGGCAGCAGUGACACCAAAAUCUGAUGGGAAAAUUUUACAGGCAAUAAGCUUGACGAUUGACGCAGAAUUUUUCGUUAAGGAGUGGGAUGAUAUAAGGUUUUACUGGGAAAAUCAUCGACAGAAGGCGAAGGCUCUGACGACGGAGGAAAGUGCUGGAGGCUACACUUCUUC
This 716-nucleotide long non-coding RNA is filed under the name Olea europaea subsp. europaea. Lineage: Eukaryota; Viridiplantae; Streptophyta; Magnoliopsida; Lamiales; Oleaceae. The record is from RNAcentral.